CUUACAAGCUGUGGAAGCACAUUUCUUGUGUGACCGCGUACUUUUUGUAGAACGGGCCAACGAGUUACGUUAAGUAGCAAGGUUAAGCACUUAAGGUGCGGAGCCGUAGCGAAAGCGAGUUUUAACUGAGCGUUCAGUUACUUGACGUAGACCCGAAACCGGGCGACCUACCCAUGAGCAGGAUGAAGCGAAAGUAAAAUUUCGUGGAGGUCCGAACCCACGAGCGUUGAAAAGCUCGGGGAUGACUUGUGGGUAGCGGUGAAAUUCCAAUCGAGCCCGGAGAUAGCUGGUUCUCCCCGAAAUAGCUUUAGGGCUAGCCUCAAGGUGAGAGAUACGGAGGUAGAGCACUGAAUGUCCUAGGGGGUAUUGCACCUACCGAAGACUAUCAAACUCCGAAUGCCGUCAUCUUAUACUUGGGAGUCAGACUGUGGGUGAUAAGAUUCAUAGUCGAAAGGGCAACAGCCCAGAUCGUCAGCUAAGGUCCCUAAAUGUAAGUUAAGUGGUAAAGGAUGUGGGAUUGCACAGACAACCAGGAUGUUGGCUUAGAAGCAGCCACUCAUUCAAAGAGUGCGUAAUAGCUCACUGGUCGAGUGAUCCUGCGCCGAAGAUUUCCGGGGCUAAAACUUACUACCGAAGCUACGGCAUCAGUAAUGAUGGGUAGGGGAGCUUCCCAUACGGGUUGAAGCAUGACCGUAAGGACAUGUGGACAGUAUGGGAGUGAGAAUGUUGGCAUGAGUAGCGAGAUGUGGGUGAGAAUCCCACAGGCCGUAAACCCAAGGUUUCCAGGGGAAGGUUCGUCCGCCCUGGGUUAGUCGGGACCUAAGCUGAGGCCGAAAGGCGUAGGUGAUGGACAACAGGUUGAUAUUCCUGUACUACCGAUAACCGUUUGAGAGAAGGGAUGACACAGUAGGAUAAGCUAAGCACACUGUUGGUUAUGUGUGCCCAAGCAUUGAGGCAGUCAAAGUAGGCAAAUCCGCUUUGAUAAUGCUGGGAUGUGAUGGGGAGCGAAAUUUAGUAGCGAAGUAGCUGAUUUCACACUGUCAAGAAAAGUCUCUAUCGAGGUUAAAGGUACCCGUACCGCAAACCGACACAGGUGGGUGAGGAGAGUAUCCUAAGGCCAGCGAGAGAACUGUUGUUAAGGAACUCGGCAAAAUGACCCCGUAACUUAGGGAUAAGGGGUGCCACCAUCAGGUGGCCGCAGAGAAUAGGCCCAAGCGACUGUUUACCAAAAACAUAGGUUUCUGCUAAGUCGCAAGACGAUGUAUAGGAGCUGACGCCUGCCCGGUGCUGGAAGGUUAAGGGGAUCUGUUAGAGCAAUCGAAGCAGUGAACUUAAGCCCCAGUAAACGGCGGCCGUAACUAUAACGGUCCUAAGGUAGCGAAAUUCCUUGUCGGGUAAGUUCCGACCCGCACGAAAGGCGUAACGAUUUGGGCACUGUCUCAACAACAGACUCGGUGAAAUUGUAAUUCCGGUGAAGAUGCCGGAUACCUGCGACAGGACGGAAAGACCCCAUGGAGCUUUACUGUAGCUUGACAUUGGGUCUUGGUACUACAUGUACAGGAUAGGUGGGAGGCUUUGAAACCAGGACGCCAGUUUUGGCGGAGCCAUCCUUGGGAUACCACCCUUGUAGUACUGGGACUCUAACCAUAGGCCAUGAAUCUGGUCUUGGGACACUGUCA
Molecule: ribosomal RNA, 1679 nt
Filed under: Clostridioides difficile
Lineage: Bacteria; Bacillati; Bacillota; Clostridia; Peptostreptococcales; Peptostreptococcaceae
Description: bacterial LSU rRNA
Rfam family: Bacterial large subunit ribosomal RNA
Source: RNAcentral